This 31-nucleotide non-coding RNA is filed under the name Mus musculus (house mouse). Lineage: Eukaryota; Metazoa; Chordata; Mammalia; Rodentia; Muridae. The record is from RNAcentral.
UAAAACCUUAUCUUGUAAGCCCUACUAAAUC